RNAcentral lists this ribosomal RNA (492 nucleotides) under uncultured bacterium. RNAcentral's name for it is "partial 16S ribosomal RNA". It matches the Rfam family "Bacterial small subunit ribosomal RNA", at positions 29 to 507 of the family's 1533-position model. The record is from RNAcentral.
AGUGAACGCUGGCGGUAGGCCUAACACAUGCAAGUCGAACGGCAGCACAGUAAGAGCUUGCUCUUACGGGUGGCGAGUGGCGGACGGGUGCUGAAUACAUCGGAAUCUACUUUUUCGUGGGGGAUAACGCAGGGAAACUUACGCUAAUACCGCAUACGACCUACGGGUGAGAUCAGGGGAUCUUCGGACCUUGCGCGAUUGAAUGAGCCGAUGUCGGAUUAGCUAGUUGGCGGGGUAAAGGCCCACCAAGGCGACGAUCCGUAGCUGGUCUGAGAGGAUGAUCAGCCACACUGGAACUGAGACACGGUCCAGACUCCUACGGGAGGCAGCAGUGGGGAAUAUUGGACAAUGGGCGAAAGCCUGAUCCAGCCGUACCGCGUGUGUGAAGAAGGUCUUCGGGUUGUAAAGCCCUUUUAUUGGGAAAGAAAAGCAGCAGGUUAAUACCCCGCUGUUCUGACGGUACCAAAAGAAUAAGCACCGGCUAACUUCGUG